Long non-coding RNA from Hipposideros armiger (great roundleaf bat), 636 nucleotides. RefSeq lists it as uncharacterized. The record is from RefSeq and is a predicted model, not a curated record. The transcript has 2 exons. NCBI's taxonomy places the organism in Eukaryota, Metazoa, Chordata, Mammalia, Chiroptera, Hipposideridae.
CGCGGCCGGGGGCGGGUCGAGGGCGCUGCGCCUGCGUAGGACUCGGCGCUUUGAGUGAGGGCGGGGGAAUAUUAGCAUCCGCGCGUGCGCGCUGGGAGUUGUUCCCGAAGAAGGGAGCGAUGUGGCUUCGAGGUACCGCGGAAAGGGCAUAAUGUCCAGAUUUUAUCGAAAAAAAAGAUCUGGAUUCCAGAGCUAAGAGGGAAGGGCAGUUUGACUCAACGAAGAGGUAUGCGUGCAUUGAGGACUUUUCGUGUGUGUGAGAUCGUUCUUGGUGGAUGACGUCAAGCGCUAUGCCCUGUGGCCAUAGUCCGCCUAAAUGAAAUCGUCACAAGAACUGUGGAGACUGUUUGAAAAUCCUGAAGCCCUGACAUUUUCCCCCAAGUUUUGGAAGAGCCCUUUUUGUUGUUACUGGUGUAACACUGAUAAAUAAAUUUGUACCUAGUAACCAACCUGCACUUUUAGCAAGAAAAGACCUAUUUCACAUUAGAAAUAAAAUUCAGUUAAAGCCAGCAAGUCUUGGAGGAAAAUGUGGCCUCAACGAUAACGGUAGGGAUUUUCAUUUAUUGUCUUACAUAUACCAGGGGAUAACACCGAAUUUCUUAAACAUAAAAAUGUAAAAAAUGAAUGGCAGGGGGG